Long non-coding RNA from Ruditapes philippinarum (Manila clam), 224 nucleotides. RefSeq lists it as uncharacterized. The record is from RefSeq and is a predicted model, not a curated record. Lineage: Eukaryota; Metazoa; Mollusca; Bivalvia; Venerida; Veneridae. The transcript is spliced from 2 exons.
GGUGCUGGUCAAGAGCCAUCCUGCCAUGGUAACCACUGCCAUUGUCAACACGUACAAGCCUGCACAGGAGAUGGCGAUUGUCAUGGUCACUGUAAUGCCGGAGGUGUCCCAACAUGCGACGACAACGGACACUGUCACUGUAACUAAGGUGUAGAAACGAAAGCGGAUUCGACAUGAAAAUGUUAAAAUAUAAUGUAAAAAAUAAAUUGCACUUAUAAAAUGGU